GGCGCUACGAUGAGGACAGGGGUCCCAUGGCAGGGGGGUGGGGGCACCAUUACCAGUGUUUUAAUGGCGCCACCAGAGUUUCAAGUGUCACUUUAUUUCCCUCAUUUCACUGUGUCCUGAUAGUUCUGGCAGGGGGGGGCGGAGGGAGCCCAGCUGGUCUUGCGCCGAGUGAGCAAAGAAGAGAAUUCAUAUCACUGAAAAUGUGGCCGAUAUUUCUUCUCCCCCCCUUUCCAUAACUCAGGAACCGCAGGAGAGGGUUUUUGCCCAGCUUGGGAAACUUCAGCUGGAGCAGAGAAAUGUUCUGCAAGUGAGAACACGGGGAAGGGAGGGUGAUGGCUAGUCGUGUAUUAUUUCAGGUUUAUGUUUAUGGCCCCAGUUAGGAUCUGGGUGCUGUGUAAACACGUAAAUGACAUGGUCCUUGCCCCAGGGAGCUUACAGUCUAAUAGGAUGUCAUACAAAACGUAAUGGAUAGGCAAUACGUAAGAUAUACACAGAACUUGGUUAGUUGUUAAUUAUCCCAGCUCCAUUCUUCUGUUCAGGUGCUUCACUCAACUCGCUUUAGCAAGUUUAGUCACAGUCCCCUACUUCCACUCUGCCCAUCAUAUUCUAUUUGAAUUCCACCACUUUGGGGUCAUUGCAAUGCCUUUUGCAACACUUUUCUUGAACCUCCCUCCCAGGGUCCUUUCCUUGCCUGAUUAGAAUGCAAGGCCCCCCAGCCAUGUUUUCCCAGUUCAAUCCAGCCAGUCGUGGCUCUGAAGGCUUGUUCCCUUCCUGGUCCAUUGCCGAUGCCUCUGUGGAACAUAGGAAUUGCCAGACUGCAUCAGGCUGCUGGUCCAUCUAGCUCAGUAUCUUGUCUCUUAAAGUGGCCAACAGCAGAUGCUACAGAGGAAGGUUAGUCCCAGAGGAAGCAGAUAUGGGUUAAUCUGCUCCUUGUGAAGGUCUUAUCCAAAUCACUAAUAGUUAGAGAUUAGUUUAAGUCCUGAAGAAGGAGAUUUAAUGUACCUUCCAAAAUGCUUGUUAACGAGAAUAUCCAGGGUUAUAAUAUUGAAUACUAGCCAAUAAACAUCCAGGCUUUUUUGAACCUUGUGAAGUU
This 1093-nucleotide long non-coding RNA is filed under the name Chrysemys picta bellii (western painted turtle). RNAcentral describes it as "lncRNA (ENSCPBG00000018989.1)". Lineage: Eukaryota; Metazoa; Chordata; Testudines; Emydidae. The record is from RNAcentral.